CUACGGGGCGCAGCAGUGGGGAAUCUUAGACAAUGGGCGCAAGCCUGAUCUAGCCAUGCCGCGUGAGCUAUGAAGGCCUUAGGGUUGUAAAGCUCUUUCGUGGGGGAAGAUAGUGACUGUACCCCAAGAAGAAGCCCCGGCUAACUCCGUGCCAGCAGCCGCGGUAAUACGGAGGGGGCUAGCGUGUGUUCGGAAUUACUGGGCGUAAAGCGCACGUAGGCGGACUGGAAAGUCAGAGGUGAAAUCCCAGGGCUCAACCUUGGAACUGCCUUUGAAACUCCCAGUCUUGAGGUCGAGAGAGGGGAGUGGAAUUCCGAGUGUAGAGGUGAAAUUCGUAGAUAUUCGGAGGAACACCAGUGGCGAAGGCGGCUCACUGGCUCGAUACUGACGCUGAGGUGCGAAAGCGUGGGGAGCAAACAGGAUUAGAUACCCCGGUAGUC
RNAcentral lists this ribosomal RNA (440 nucleotides) under uncultured bacterium. RNAcentral describes it as "partial 16S ribosomal RNA". It matches the Rfam family "Bacterial small subunit ribosomal RNA", at positions 339 to 795 of the family's 1533-position model. The record is from RNAcentral.